RNAcentral lists this ribosomal RNA (254 nucleotides) under uncultured bacterium. RNAcentral describes it as "partial 16S ribosomal RNA". It matches the Rfam family "Bacterial small subunit ribosomal RNA", at positions 524 to 776 of the family's 1533-position model. The record is from RNAcentral.
UACGUAGGGAGCAAGCGUUGUCCGGAUUUAUUGGGCGUAAAGAGCUCGUAGGCGGUGUGUCGCGUCGGCCGUGAAAACCUGGGGCUCAACUCUGGGCGUGCGGUCGAUACGGGCAUCACUUGAGUUCGGCAGGGGAGACUGGAAUUCCUGGUGUAGCGGUGAAAUGCGCAGAUAUCAGGAGGAACACCGGUGGCGAAGGCGGGUCUCUGGGCCGAUACUGACGCUGAGGAGCGAAAGCAUGGGGAGCGAACAGG